CCCCAUGGUCAAGGCCGCC
Molecule: unclassified non-coding RNA, 19 nt
Filed under: Chlamydomonas reinhardtii
Lineage: Eukaryota; Viridiplantae; Chlorophyta; Chlorophyceae; Chlamydomonadales; Chlamydomonadaceae
Description: small RNA Cre_1038
Source: RNAcentral